This 506-nucleotide ribosomal RNA is filed under the name uncultured bacterium. RNAcentral describes it as "partial 16S ribosomal RNA". It matches the Rfam family "Bacterial small subunit ribosomal RNA", at positions 30 to 523 of the family's 1533-position model. The record is from RNAcentral.
AUUGAACGCUGGCGGCAGGCCUAACACAUGCAAGUCGAGCGGCAGCGGAAAGUAGCUUGCUACUUUGCCGGCGAGCGGCGGACGGGUGAGUAAUGUCUGGGAAACUGCCUGAUGGAGGGGGAUAACUACUGGAAACGGUAGCUAAUACCGCAUAACGUCGCAAGACCAAAGAGGAGGACCUUCGGGCCUCUUGCCAUCAGAUGUGCCCAGAUGGGAUUAGCUAGUAGGUGGGGUAAUGGCUCACCUAGGCGACGAUCCCUAGCUGGUCUGAGAGGAUGACCAGCCACACUGGAACUGAGACACGGUCCAAACUCCUACGGGAGGCAGCAGUGGGGAAUAUUGCACAAUGGGCGCAAGCCUGAUGCAGCCAUGCCGCGUGUAUGAAGAAGGCCUUCGGGUUGUAAAGUACUUUCAGCGGGGAGGAAGGUGUUGAGGUUAAUAACCUCAGCAAUUGACGUUACCCGCAGAAGAAGCACCGGCUAACUCCGUGCCAGCCGCCGCGGUAA